Molecule: ribosomal RNA, 253 nt
Filed under: uncultured bacterium
Lineage: Bacteria
Description: partial 16S ribosomal RNA
Rfam family: Bacterial small subunit ribosomal RNA
Source: RNAcentral
GACAGAGGAUGCAAGCGUUAUCCGGAAUGAUUGGGAGUAAAGCGUCUGUAGGUGGCUCUUUAAGUCUGCUGUCAAAUCCCAGGGCUUAACCCUGGACAGGCGGUGGAAACUACCAAGCUGGAGUACGGUAGGGGCAGAGGGAAUUUCCGGUGGAGCGGUGAAAUGCGUAGAGAUCGGAGAGAACACCAACGGCGAAAGCACUCUGCUGGGCCGACACUGACACUAAGAGACGAAAGCUAGGGGAGCGAAUGGG